UUAUUUGUUUUACACAGAAAAUAAAACUGAUCCCAUCCAUCCAAUUCUAUUAAAGUGAUCUGAUUAUUAACAGUUUGAAGUUUUUCACAUUUUAAUGAGAUCUGCUGGCCAAUGGAAGGUUACAGCAGCCUCUAGACAAGGGCCUUGGCCAAACGGCUCUGUGGAGUGGAGGGGUGAGAGGGGUGUUUGUAGUGAGAUGUGUUUCUAGCCAGUGUGCCUGAGUCUGUGUGUGUCCAUGGGUAAGAGAGAUGUGCCUGUCUAUAGUGAGGUGUGUUUGUAGUGUGUGUGUGUGUGUGUGUUUAUAUUUAUGUGUGUAUGUGUCUAUGGGAUAACAGAGAUGUGCGUGUCUGUAGUGAGGUGUGUUUGUAGUGUGUGUGUGUGUGUAUAUGUGUCCAUGGGGUAAGAGAGUUGAGUGUGUCUGUAGUUAGGUGUGUGUGUGUGUAUGUUUAUAUUUAUGUGUGUGUGUGUGUGUAACUACACAGCACAGUCCGUCUCUCACUGUCUGGGACCUUUCUACCAUCGGACCAAGUUCUGCCCUGAGUACCGUGUUUGCCCUGCCCUUGAAAGAAUCCUCACGUCGGCAUCUUCCAUUCCCCCCCAGUCUUGGAAACAAGGCAUCCUUGUUCUUCCUUGAGGGAAGAAAAUAAAUGCAAUGGGGAAUUUCAAGGAGUCUUGUCUCUCAAAAACAGGUGAGAAGGUGGCGGCGGGGGGGUUGCAAUGAGCUACACAGAUAGGCUCAGAGAGACCAGGCAUGUAGAGCAGGGAGAGGCGAGCAGAGGGCAGUGGUGACGGACCAGGGAAAACGGGAGCCUCCGCAAGGAGAGAGCGAAUACUUGGAUGGUCAGAAUGGCUGCUUCCAUGUUCCAAAGAGAGACACGGGCCGUUUGCUCCGGUGUUUGGGAUGGAGUUUAUACUCCGCGCGAGGUUUAAUUUUCUGUUUCACAUUCCGGGGGCUCAGGAUGGAAGCGACAGUCCUCGUCUCCAGAGGCCGCAUGUCCGUCCAGGCCGGCAGCGAAAAUGGUCUCCAGCCCGACCCUCUGAUAGCCGUCUCAACCCCUCAUGCGGGGCAGGAGCCGCAUCCUCAUCACUCCCAGGCUGGAAUGUCUUUCCUGCAUUUCCCGAUCAGACCGAUCUCCCUAGUUUCCUGAUCGGUACCCCGAGGGGCGAGCGCUCGCCGCUGUUGCUCGGAGCCUGGGGCGGGGCGGGGGACGUGACCGGCGACAGCCAUUCCCCAUGAUCCGGACUGAUACCGGCUCCACAUGACUGCGCCCCGAGUCACGCUCUGACCAGAACCAGGGGCCCACAGUAAUGAGGACCAAGGGCGGAAGCGACAGGUCGGGUUCCCCGAGGCCACCCGUCCGUCCACCCCGGCAGCUAAAGUGUUGUGGCCGCUGUGGUCUUUCUUCCUGAAGGUGACAGGGUCAGCAUAAGCCAUGACACAUCGCGUUGCUCAUCCGUACCUUCGGCUGACUCGAUGCCUCUACGUUCAGAGAACAACAGCAUUCGUCAUUAAUGAAUCUGGGUUCAAUCCUGGAGUCAGGGGAAAGGAAUGAUGGAAACUGUUCUGCAACAAAACUGUGAUCCAUUGUCACUGACCAAGAACGCCAGUCCCCGAGAAGAGGCCUGCCAACACACCAACAACGUGCGAACAACCAAGAACAUCUUUGGCCACCCUGCAGCUGCUGCCCCAUCUCCAAGAGACCCGUGCCCACAGCCGGUCUGGCAAGAUCCACAUGAAUCCUCUGCUAGGGCAAUGCAGGCCGCUCCCCGGGAUGGAGAGGCACCAUUCCCGGCAUCCCCUGGACAGUGCAUGAGAAGCUGGUUGAUCUGCUGUUCUAUCCCAGGUCGUCCAGACAAAGCAUCGAGCCAACGCUUUCGUUUUUGACCACUCCUAGAUGGCUGACAUGCAGCUCCUCCAACACCUCAGCUCCCACCCCGGAUGGUACAACAACUCUCUUUCCCCACACACGGCUGCCUUCUUCAAGGGCAAGUUCAUCCCGGCGCUGGUAAAAAUGGGGGAUCUGGGAUUCCUGCUGCACAUUCCAGCCAUUUUGGGUGCCCAUGUGGACCUGAGACAGUGUGGGGUCUUUUCUAGUUUUCCUUUGGAUCAUCUCUGCCAUAAUAGGGAGACUUUCAAUUUGCAUUAGGGAGAAUAUGUAAGAGGAAUGUCGGCUUUUAUAAAUUUUUCAGGUAUUUUCUUUUCCGAGGGUCAACGGGACAAUCCUUCAGUGUUUCCGUGAUUAGUUGUCCUCUUGAAUUCAAUCUUGUAACUGUGUCCUCCAAGAAACGGAGUCCAUCUCUGCGUUUGUGUUGUUGCUGUUAGUGUAACACCCUCUUGUGGAUUGAAAAUGAGACACUACCGGCUGAUGAUCGUUAAUGAGGGUAAACUCUCUCCCAUACAUGUACUGGUUGAAACGUUUUACACUCCAAACUAGACUCAAGGCCUCUCUGUCAAUCUGUGCAUAUUUUUUCUCUGCAUCUGUAAGGGAACAUGAUGCAAAGGUUAUGGGUCGUUCACUACCAUCAUUCAUAACGUGAUGUGACUGCACCUAUACCACAAGGCGAGGCACCACAGUUUCACGGUCACGCGAGGCGUGCUGUUCCAGGACACGUGAACCGCUUUCCGACUUCGGGAAAGGUGACUUGUGCUUUUCCUGUGCUCGAUGGAGCGUCGCUCGCCUUUCUGCACAAACACGAGCAAGUCUGCAGUCGCUGGAAGUCCAAAGCAUCGCACACAAGAGUUGUGGAGGAACUCAGCAGGCCAGGCAGCAUCGUUGGAAAAGAGUACAGGCGUCGGUUCGGGCCGAGACCCUUCGGCAGGUCCAGCACUUUUUGUGUGUGUUCCCGCAUGUGUCUGCUCCGUUCCUGCCUCCGUGCAGACGGAACAGAGGACAUUAAGAGCUUCAGGUACUGAAGGCCUAACCCAUCAGUGUGCUGCUCAUUGGCGGAGGAGCUGGACUUGGCAUGGACUCUGUUACUGCCUGCAACUGAAAGGCAUUGGAGUCAGCUCACGAAGGCAGUGUGCUGUCUAACAGCUAGUGUUUGUCUUGGGUGUUUGUCUUGUGAUCACAGGACCCGACUGGACAUUGGUAAUGUAAAAUGCUGCAAGUUUGUUUCCCUUGUUUAUUAGCAAGACGGAUGGUGGGGAAGCUGUGUGGCCUCGGAUGUAGCAAGGACUCGGCCUCAAGCUGCGGGCUUGCCUGUUGGAACAGUGCAGACGGGGAAACAGCAUGCUGGGUUAGGGUCUGGCCCCUCCUGUUGGUCCUGCCCUCCAGUGUUCGCCCUGUGGAAGGCAAGCUGGAUUCAAUGUGUACGUGCAUACAAUUGUCUGCGAACUGCUGAGACGUACUGAUAACACCCAGGCGCCAUCAAUUUACAGGACAUAUCACUCAGGGACUUCGGCUACGUAUAUCCUUUCUGUGACUGCAUGUUCACUGCUAUCUUAUAUGUGCUUUGUGCUGUGUAUGACUGUUGGUACUGUGUUUUGUACCUUGGCCCUGGAGGAACACGGUUUCAUUUGACUAUUUAUGUAUGGUUGAAUGACAAUUAAACUUGAA
Molecule: long non-coding RNA, 3557 nt
Organism: Mobula hypostoma (lesser devil ray)
Lineage: Eukaryota; Metazoa; Chordata; Chondrichthyes; Myliobatiformes; Myliobatidae
Exons: 4
Source: RefSeq, a predicted model, not a curated record